CAAUAUUUAAGUGCUCUCAGUAUUUACAGACUGGUGUGAUCCAUGAAAUUUUCCUAGGAGAUUCUACAAAGCUGAAUUGGUAUCAUCAGGCAGCAGCAGCAGCAGCAACAACAGCAACAACUAUUAUUAUCAUUAUUUCUGUGUACUGACUUCAGGAAGAGAAAAAUCUCCUUUGGCUAGACGCUUAAAAACAAAAAUUGCUGAACUGUGGGCAG
RNAcentral lists this long non-coding RNA (215 nucleotides) under Fukomys damarensis (Damara mole-rat). Its description in RNAcentral is "lncRNA (ENSFDAG00000022436.1)". The record is from RNAcentral. Lineage: Eukaryota; Metazoa; Chordata; Mammalia; Rodentia; Bathyergidae.